This 73-nucleotide transfer RNA is filed under the name Vicugna pacos (alpaca). RNAcentral's name for it is "tRNA-Ala (AGC) (tRNA-Ala-AGC-658-1, tRNA-Ala-AGC-658-2)". It matches the Rfam family "tRNA". Rfam says of the family: Transfer RNA (tRNA) molecules are approximately 80 nucleotides in length. Their secondary structure includes four short double-helical elements and three loops (D, anti-codon, and T loops). The record is from RNAcentral. Lineage: Eukaryota; Metazoa; Chordata; Mammalia; Artiodactyla; Camelidae.
GGAGGGUAUAGCUCAGUGGUAGAGUGUGUGCUUAGCAUGCACGAGGUCCUGGGUUCAAUCCCCAGUACUUCCA